Molecule: ribosomal RNA, 500 nt
Filed under: uncultured bacterium
Lineage: Bacteria
Description: partial 16S ribosomal RNA
Rfam family: Bacterial small subunit ribosomal RNA
Source: RNAcentral
GACGAACGCUGGCGGCGUGCUUAACACAUGCAAGUCGAACGGGUCUGCCCUGUUUUUUGCGGGGUGGGUCAGUGGCGAACGGGUGAGUAACACGUGAGUAACCUGCCCCUCACUUCUGGAUAACCGCUUGAAAGGGUGGCUAAUACGGGGUGUUUUGGCUGUGCCGCAUGGUGUGGCUGGGAAAGAUUCACUUUUGUGGUGUUUUGGUGGGGGAUGGGCUCGCGGCCUAUCAGCUUGUUGGUGGGGUGAUGGCCUGCCAAGGCUUUGACGGGUAGGCGGCCUGAGAGGGUGGGCGGUCACACUGGGACUGAGAUACGGAGCAGACUCCUGCGGGAGGCAGCAGUGGGGGGUAUUGCACAAUGGGCGGAAGCCUGAUGCAGCGACGUCGCGUGAGGGAUGGAGGCCUUCGGGUUAUGAACCUCUUUCGCCGGUGAAGAAGGUCCUGCUCUUUGUGGUGGGGUUGACGGUAGCCGGGUUAUGAAGCGCCGGCUAACUACGUG